Mytilus californianus (California mussel) is the source of this 739-nucleotide long non-coding RNA. RefSeq lists it as uncharacterized. The transcript is spliced from 3 exons. The record is from RefSeq and is a predicted model, not a curated record. NCBI's taxonomy places the organism in Eukaryota, Metazoa, Mollusca, Bivalvia, Mytilida, Mytilidae.
UGCUACUAUCUGAUAGAUGUUGAGAAUAAAACAGAAUAACGGGUUAUGUUAGCGUGUUCGGAAUUUGGUUUGUGGUUUAAUAUAUUUCUCUGUUGUCCGGUAUAUAACGGUUUUUCAGUUGUUGUAUUUUUGUGUGGAUUAAUUGCUUUCACCACGUGUCUCCCAAAUAUAAUUGUAUUAGGCACGGAAGAAUGCUAUGGUGUGGUCUUUAACCUCAGUUUUAAACAGAUCCCACUUGACACCAAUAUCAUUGACACCAGACAACGUAGCUGAAGAAACAAUAGUAAUUGGAUCUUAUCGUGUAAAUUUUGGAAUAGUGAUUUCGUAAAACUUGGUGUUCUAUUAAUGGAAAUUGAGCUCUGCGUAUAAAGAAUUGACAUGCUUUGAACAGGAAAAAGUAAAAGGAUGUAAUAGCAUAUUACUGAACAAAAGGAAAAUAGACAAUGACAGUUGUGCGAAUAAAACGGAUAAAACGAUGUGAGCUUUUUUGGGUAAUAAAUUGUAGAGUUCAAUAUCUGGAACAUAAACAAGAUUUUACCUGUUGGACACAGAAUAGGUACUAUUAAUAGAUUUAUUUUUUCCCAAGAUUUCUGUUUUCUCUUCUUGGGAGUAAUUGUUAUAAAAUGUUUAAAUUUCUGUAUAAUUAUUAUAUUUUCUUUUCUAUUAAAAAAAAAAUUGUACAAACUGCAAUUGUUUUGUAUUAGAUUAAUAUAAUUAUAAUUAAAGUAUUUUAAAUUGA